CCUACGGGGGGCAGCAGUGAGGAAUUUUGCGCAAUGGGGGAAACCCUGACGCAGCAACGCCGCGUGAGUGAAGAAGGCCCUUGGGUCGUAAAACUCUGUCGACAGGGAAGAAGUUACCAUGCAUUAAUAGUGUUUGGUAUUGACGGUACCUGUGGAGGAAGCAUCGGCUAACUCCGUGCCAGCAGCCGCGGUAAUACGGGGGAUGCAAGCGUUAUUCGGAAUCAUUGGGCGUAAAGGGCACGCAGGCGGCCCUGUCAGUCAGAUGUGAAAGCCCGGGGCUCAACCCCGGACGUGCAUUUGAAACAGCAGGGCUUGAGUAUGGUAGAGGAAAGGGGAAUUCCUGGUGUAGAGGUGAAAUUCGUAGAUAUCAGGAGGAACACCGGUGGCGAAGGCGCCUUUCUGGACCAAAACUGACGCUGAGGUGCGAAGGCGUGGGUAGCGAACAGGAUUAGAUACCCCCGUAGUC
Molecule: ribosomal RNA, 466 nt
Filed under: uncultured bacterium
Lineage: Bacteria
Description: bacterial SSU rRNA
Rfam family: Bacterial small subunit ribosomal RNA
Source: RNAcentral